RNAcentral lists this ribosomal RNA (431 nucleotides) under uncultured bacterium. Its description in RNAcentral is "bacterial SSU rRNA". It matches the Rfam family "Bacterial small subunit ribosomal RNA", at positions 80 to 507 of the family's 1533-position model. The record is from RNAcentral.
UUUCUUUGCUGACGAGCGGCGGACGGGUGAGUAAUGCCUGGGAAUAUGCCUUAGUGUGGGGGAUAACUAUUGGAAACGAUAGCUAAUACCGCAUAACGUCUUCGGACCAAAGAGGGGGACCUUCGGGCCUCUCGCGCUAAGAUUAGCCCAGGUGGGAUUAGCUAGUUGGUGAGGUAAAGGCUCACCAAGGCAACGAUCCCUAGCUGGUCUGAGAGGAUGAUCAGCCACACUGGAACUGAGACACGGUCCAGACUCCUACGGGAGGCAGCAGUGGGGAAUAUUGCACAAUGGGGGAAACCCUGAUGCAGCCAUGCCGCGUGUAUGAAGAAGGCCUUCGGGUUGUAAAGUACUUUCAGUCGUGAGGAAGGCAUUGUAGUUAAUAGCUGCAGUGCUUGACGUUAGCGACAGAAGAAGCACCGGCUAACUCCGUG